CUCCACCAGAGUACUACGAGCCACAGCUUAAAACUCAAAGGACUUGGCGGUGCCCCAAAUCCCCCCAGAGGAGCCUGUUCUAUAAUCGAUAAUCCACGUUAAACCUCACCACCUUUUGCCAACUCAGCCUAUAUACCACCGUCGCCAGCCUACCUCAUGAAAGAACCUAAGUAGACAAAAACGAUUAACCCGAACACGCCAGGUCAAGGUGUAGCACACAAGGUGGAAAGAAAUGGGCUACAUUUUCUUAAAAAGAAUAAUACGAAUCUACUAUGAAAAUACUUUUGAAGGCGGAUUUGGCAGUAAGGAGGGGACAAUAUCAUGCCCCCCUUAAGCCGGCCCUGGGGCGCGCACA
RNAcentral lists this ribosomal RNA (355 nucleotides) under Luetkenotyphlus brasiliensis. RNAcentral's name for it is "partial small subunit ribosomal RNA". It matches the Rfam family "Bacterial small subunit ribosomal RNA", at positions 867 to 1387 of the family's 1533-position model. Lineage: Eukaryota; Metazoa; Chordata; Amphibia; Gymnophiona; Siphonopidae. The record is from RNAcentral.